AGUGAACGCUGGCGGUAGGCCUAACACAUGCAAGUCGAACGGCAGCACAGUAAGAGCUUGCUCUUACGGGUGGCGAGUGGCGGACGGGUGAGGAAUACAUCGGAAUCUACUUUUUCGUGGGGGAUAACGUAGGGAAACUUACGCUAAUACCGCAUACGACCUACGGGUGAAAGCAGGGGAUCUUCGGACCUUGCGCGAUUGAAUGAGCCGAUGUCGGAUUAGCUAGUUGGCGGGGUAAAGGCCCACCCAGGCGACGAUCCGUAGCUGGUCUGAGAGGAUGAUCAGCCACACUGAAACUGAGACACGGUCCAGCCUCCUACGGGAGGCAGCAGGGGGGAAUAUUGGACAAUGGGCGCAAGCCUGAUCCAGCCAUACCGCGUGGGUGAAGAAGGCCUUCGGGUUGUAAAGACCUUUUGUUGGGAAAGAAAAGCAGCAGGUUAAUACCCCGCUGUUCUGACGGUACCCAAAGAAUAAGCACCGGCUAACUUCGUG
This 492-nucleotide ribosomal RNA is filed under the name uncultured bacterium. RNAcentral's name for it is "partial 16S ribosomal RNA". It matches the Rfam family "Bacterial small subunit ribosomal RNA", at positions 29 to 507 of the family's 1533-position model. The record is from RNAcentral.